UUUCCAUUCAUACAGGGUAUGUUGAAAAAGACAUUGAGUAAGGCAUAGAGCUUAAAGAAAAGAACUCUGCCUGAAUUAGUCACAUGCAUCAUUUAUUGAAACAAACAAUACAGAACUAUAUAUUUUUACUGUUCAGUGUUUGCUGUCUGAAGCAUGCCAUUUUUGGUGCAACUGUUCCUUUAAAAAAAUACAACCAAUAGCACUGAGGGGGAAGGGUUAACAACCACCCAACAUUUUUAAGGUGGAACGGAUAGUUCGGCGAAUAAGGAGCUGGAGUCAGCCUCGUCAAUGCCCAUUUGUGUUUCGUUGCGUCCCGUUGCAUUCAAAGACAAACGCCCGAAAUGUGGAACUAAACAGCGCUAACGUUAGUUUGUUGACCAUUCACCAUCAGACAGUACUGCGAUUUGCUGGGAGAUCCAGGGCACCAAGUGACCAAGAGCACACAAUGGAAGCAGCCUAGAAAGGCAAAGACAAAGGUGACGAUAUUCAGCACUUUAACGGAGGGAGAGGUGGAAGACCUUGCCAAGGGGUUUGGAAUGACACUGACCAAAGGUCCAAAAGACAAACUACUUUCUGGGAUACCUGAAGAGGACAUCCCAGCAACACUGAGGAGCAUUGAACAAAUGAAGUUUAAUGUGCAAAACCUUGGGCCUGAAUCAGAGCUGGAUUUGGCCACUCACCGCUUUGGGCCUACAGCAGCUGAUUUUUUCUUUUCCUUUUUAGAGGACUGUAUGAAAUAAACUCAGCACAAAUAAGGGGCACACAUAUACUAACGUGGAAGC
Long non-coding RNA from Cyprinus carpio (common carp), 782 nucleotides. RefSeq lists it as uncharacterized. Lineage: Eukaryota; Metazoa; Chordata; Actinopteri; Cypriniformes; Cyprinidae. The record is from RefSeq and is a predicted model, not a curated record.